CAAUAAGUUUCAAUCCAUUUAUUACUCACUGUGAGAGAAAUUGCUUCCUUUUAUGUCUGGAACUAAACCUGGAUCACAUUUCACAGGAUAUCCCCUAGUCACAGAGUUUUGGAAUCUGACCUGGAGGCAAAGGUAUGGAUGAGAUCACAUAGCAAGGAGAUUGCUGCUGAGAAGGAGUCAAAGCCUGGGUUUUACUUGUGGCCUUGCUGCUACACUAACUUUACUGACAUGUCAUUCUGGGAUAGUCUUUUCUCUCUGAGGCUUCAAGAGAAGAUGAGAAUACAUUCCAUCCCUACUUCUUGGAGUCAUUGUGAGGACUCAGAUGAAGUGCAGCAUCACGCAACAGAACUCAGAUGCCCUCACUGCAUCUCAAAUGCACUCAGGUAGGUACGAUGAUGGUAAGAGUUCAUAUUUACUGACUACCUACUAAGUGGUUGGUACUAUUCCUAGUAUUUUGUUUUAACUUUCGCAUUUAAUCCUAUAACAGCAUACCUAAGAAGUGACUAUUAUUUCUGACCUCCAUUUAGAGAAAGCAUGGAGACACAUGCUGUUUCGGCACUUUCCCCAAGAUAAGAGAGUUAUAGGAGCUGGAACUGGAUAGAAGCCUGGUGUACACCUCUCUGACUAUUGCUUCACUGGGCCACCUGGCAUCCUGUGGAGGGGCUUCUGAGCACCUGUAAUCUGAUGGAGAGCAUGGCAGAGGCAGCUGGAUGCUAGACACUGAGGAGACACCUGAGUCUGACAAGUGGAAAGAGAUGUGUGUGGGGAAAGGAGAUCAGGCAAAGGCUCCGCAGUAGGAAGGCCGGAGUGGCCCCUGAGACCACAGGAAGAAAAGGGAAGCAAUGCUGGACAGCCGGCCAGCUCCUGGGCUGUGGGGCCAGCAGCCAUUAGAGACAGUCAGAGUAGAGGACCCUUAGACCCCACCAGACCCUGCAGAGGAUGAAACAGAAGGAUGCAAAGAGAUUUGUCCUCUUAAGAGAGGAAACAAAUACAAAUCACAAUGAAAUGCCACUUUCCUGCAUCGGAUUAAUGAAUACUCGAAAGCUUAAUACUACUUAGUGUUGGCCAGGACUUUCCUUUUGCACAAUUUUGAUGGGCGAGUCAAUUGGGAAAGUGUUUGUGAGUGCAGUUUGGCAAUAUGUGUGUAUCUACAUUUUAAAUGCACAUACUUUUUGGUCCAGAAAAAGUCCCCUGAGGAUACACACAUACCUGCAGGAUAAAUGCACACAUACAUAUAUUUAGGGUUGGCAUUUUUACAAACAGAAAAUUAAAAAUGAUCUUCAUCAGUAGGUUAAGCAAAUAAAUUAUGAUAAUACAAACUAGGGAAUACUGUGGCUUCGUAUUACUCUUAAAAUAAAACUCCAAGCCCUUUCCCAUGGCCUAUAAGGCCUGGGAUGAUUUGGUCCCUUCCCCGUUCUCACCCUAAUUUCUCACUGCUCUUUCUCUCCCCCUGCUCCAGUUCCUAGAGGCUAUAGCUGUUCCACAGACCAAGGCAGUUCCACCCUUAGGGCCUUUGCUCCUGCAGUUUCUCCUUCUUGGAAGGUUUUCUCCCCCAGAUAUUAAUACGACUGUCUCCUCACUCUAUUUAUACCUCUGUUCAAAUAUCAACAUGUGGUGAACAGCUUCGAAAAUGACCCUUAACGACCUGCCCUCCUGGUAUGGAUUCCCUCCCUUCUAGUGUGAGCUGGACCUAGUGACUUACUAAUAAUGAAUAGAAUAUUUUAAAAGGGGAGAUUUCACUUCUGAGAUCUGAUAACAGAAUACCAUGACUUCAUCUUGCAUGCUCUUUCUCUCUCCCUCUGUCUUCCUCUCCCUGGCAUUCUUGCUUGUGAGUAAGCAGGCUGCCAUGCUGUGAGCUGCCCUAUGGAGAAGUCCACAUGGCAAGGAACUGAGGGAGACCUUCAGCCAACAGCCAAUGAGGAACUGAUGCUCCCAGAGAACAGCCUGUAGGAAACUAAUUCCUGCUAACAACCUUCAGAUGACUGCAGGUCUGGCUGGCAACUCAACUGAAGCCUGAGAGAGAUCCUGAAGCAGCGGGUGCAGCUAAGCCUCUGCUGGAUUCCCAUUAGACAGAAACUCAUCACCAGUUUUCCAUGAGAGCACCAAGCCUGUGAUUUCAGUAGAAGCUUAACUGCUCGUCUUUGAGGCACCAAAUCUGAAAAGCGAUCUUCCUGAAGACCAUGCUAAGGCAAGAACAUCCAUAUAAGGGAGAAUUCCUGAAAGUGUUCUAACACUUCAGUGGAAACUCAUCAAUGCUCUGUACCCAGAAUAAUCCCAUUUCGGAGGGGGCAUGGAUGGGGCAGAUGCAUGAUGUGCCCUGAGGAGCAGAGGAAACAUGGGCUUGGGUUGUGAAGGAUCUCAGAGAAGCUCUCCUGGACUGGCCCAAAUGUCUCAAACUUUAAUGUGCACAUAAAUCUAUUAAAAUGCAGC
Pan troglodytes (chimpanzee) is the source of this 2430-nucleotide long non-coding RNA. RefSeq lists it as uncharacterized. The record is from RefSeq and is a predicted model, not a curated record. The transcript has 4 exons. NCBI's taxonomy places the organism in Eukaryota, Metazoa, Chordata, Mammalia, Primates, Hominidae.